Molecule: ribosomal RNA, 1347 nt
Filed under: Lacticaseibacillus paracasei
Lineage: Bacteria; Bacillati; Bacillota; Bacilli; Lactobacillales; Lactobacillaceae
Description: bacterial SSU rRNA
Rfam family: Bacterial small subunit ribosomal RNA
Source: RNAcentral
CAACAUGGAACGAGUGGCGGACGGGUGAGUAACACGUGGGUAACCUGCCCUUAAGUGGGGGAUAACAUUUGGAAACAGAUGCUAAUACCGCAUAGAUCCAAGAACCGCAUGGUUCUUGGCUGAAAGAUGGCGUAAGCUAUCGCUUUUGGAUGGACCCGCGGCGUAUUAGCUAGUUGGUGAGGUAACGGCUCACCAAGGCGAUGAUACGUAGCCGAACUGAGAGGUUGAUCGGCCACAUUGGGACUGAGACACGGCCCAAACUCCUACGGGAGGCAGCAGUAGGGAAUCUUCCACAAUGGACGCAAGUCUGAUGGAGCAACGCCGCGUGAGUGAAGAAGGCUUUCGGGUCGUAAAACUCUGUUGUUGGAGAAGAAUGGUCGGCAGAGUAACUGUUGUCGGCGUGACGGUAUCCAACCAGAAAGCCACGGCUAACUACGUGCCAGCAGCCGCGGUAAUACGUAGGUGGCAAGCGUUAUCCGGAUUUAUUGGGCGUAAAGCGAGCGCAGGCGGUUUUUUAAGUCUGAUGUGAAAGCCCUCGGCUUAACCGAGGAGCGCAUCGGAAACUGGGAAACUUGAGUGCAGAAGAGGACAGUGGAACUCCCAUGUGUAGCGGUGAAAUGCGUAGAUAUAUGGAAGAACACCAGUGGCGAAGGCGGCUGUCUGGUCUGUAACUGACGCUGAGGCUCGAAAGCAUGGGUAGCGAACAGGAUUAGAUACCCUGGUAGUCCAUGCCGUAAACGAUGAAUGCUAGGUGUUGGAGGGUUUCCGCCCUUCAGUGCCGCAGCUAACGCAUUAAGCAUUCCGCCUGGGGAGUACGACCGCAAGGUUGAAACUCAAAGGAAUUGACGGGGGCCCGCACAAGCGGUGGAGCAUGUGGUUUAAUUCGAAGCAACGCGAAGAACCUUACCAGGUCUUGACAUCUUUUGAUCACCUGAGAGAUCAGGUUUCCCCUUCGGGGGCAAAAUGACAGGUGGUGCAUGGUUGUCGUCAGCUCGUGUCGUGAGAUGUUGGGUUAAGUCCCGCAACGAGCGCAACCCUUAUGACUAGUUGCCAGCAUUUAGUUGGGCACUCUAGUAAGACUGCCGGUGACAAACCGGAGGAAGGUGGGGAUGACGUCAAAUCAUCAUGCCCCUUAUGACCUGGGCUACACACGUGCUACAAUGGAUGGUACAACGAGUUGCGAGACCGCGAGGUCAAGCUAAUCUCUUAAAGCCAUUCUCAGUUCGGACUGUAGGCUGCAACUCGCCUACACGAAGUCGGAAUCGCUAGUAAUCGCGGAUCAGCACGCCGCGGUGAAUACGUUCCCGGGCCUUGUACACACCGCCCGUCACACCAUGAGAGUUUGUA